UAGUAGCGGCGAGCGAGCGGGAAGAGCUCAAAUUUAUAAUCUGGCACCUUCGGUGUCCGAGUUGUAAUCUCUAGAAAUGUUUUCCGCGUUGGACCGCACACAAGUCUGUUGGAAUACAGCGGCAUAGUGGUGAGACCCCCGUAUAUGGUGCGGACGCCCAGCGCUUUGUGAUACAUUUUCGAAGAGUCGAGUUGUUUGGGAAUGCAGCUCAAAUUGGGUGGUAAAUUCCAUCUAAAGCUAAAUAUUGGCGAGAGACCGAUAGCGAACAAGUACCGUGAGGGAAAGAUGAAAAGCACUUUGGAAAGAGAGUUAACAGUACGUGAAAUUGUUGGAAGGGAAACGCUUGAAGUCAGACUUGCUUGCCGAGCAAUCGGUUUGCAGGCCAGCAUCAGUUUUCCGGGAUGGAUAAUGGUAGAGAGAAGGUAGCAGUUUCGGCUGUGUUAUAGCUCUCUGCUGGAUACAUCUUGGGGGACUGAGGAACGCAGUGUGCCUUUGGCGGGGGUUUCGACCUCUUCACACUUAGGAUGCUGGUGGAAUGGCUUUAAACGACCCGUCUUGAAACAC
RNAcentral lists this ribosomal RNA (564 nucleotides) under Rhodotorula mucilaginosa. RNAcentral describes it as "eukaryotic LSU rRNA". It matches the Rfam family "Eukaryotic large subunit ribosomal RNA", at positions 81 to 662 of the family's 3401-position model. The record is from RNAcentral. Lineage: Eukaryota; Fungi; Basidiomycota; Microbotryomycetes; Sporidiobolales; Sporidiobolaceae.